This 119-nucleotide ribosomal RNA is filed under the name Helianthus annuus (common sunflower). Lineage: Eukaryota; Viridiplantae; Streptophyta; Magnoliopsida; Asterales; Asteraceae. The record is from RNAcentral.
GGUUGCGAUCAUACCAGCACUAAUGCACCGAAUCCCAUCAGAACUCCGCAGUCAAGCGUGCUUGGGCGAGAGUAGUACUAGGAUGGGUGACCCCCUGGGAAGUCCUCGUGUUGCAACCC